GGAGGAAAGUAGGGGAUCGCAAGACCUUGCGCUUUUGGAGCGGCCGAUGCCUGAUUAGCUUGUUGGUGAGGUAAAAGCUCACCAAGGCUUCGAUCAGUAGCUGGUCUGAGAGGACGACCAGCCACACUGGGACUGAGACACGGCCCAGACUCCUACGGGAGGCAGCAGUGGGGAAUUUUGGACAAUGGGGGCAACCCUGAUCCAGCCAUGCCGCGUGAGUGAAGAAGGCCUUCGGGUUGUAAAGCUCUUUCAGCCGGAACGAAACGGUUACGGUUAAUACCCGUGACUACUGACGGUACCGGAAGAAGAAGCACCGGCUAACUACGUGCCAGCAGCCGCGGUAAUACGUAGGGUGCAAGCGUUAAUCGGAAUUACUGGGCGUAAAGCGUGCGCAGGUGGUUUUGUAAGUCAGAUGUGAAAUCCCCGGGCUUAACCUGGGAACUGCGUUUGAAACUACAAAGCUAG
This 465-nucleotide ribosomal RNA is filed under the name uncultured bacterium. RNAcentral's name for it is "bacterial SSU rRNA". It matches the Rfam family "Bacterial small subunit ribosomal RNA", at positions 198 to 644 of the family's 1533-position model. The record is from RNAcentral.